UCUUCUAAGAUGGCUGCCGCUACCGGUGCGGUGGCAGCCUCGGCCGCCUCGGGUCAGGCGGAAGGUAAAAAGAUCACCGAUUUGCGGGUCAUCGAUCUGAAGUCCGAGCUGAAGCGGCGGAACUUAGACAUCACCGGAGUCAAGACCGUGCUCAUCUCCCGACUCAAGCAGGCUAUUGAAGAGGAAGGAGGCGAUCCAGAUAAUAUUGAAUUAACUGUUUCAACUGAUACUCCAAACAAGAAACCAACUAAAGGCAAAGGUAAAAAACAUGAAGCAGAUGAGUUGAGUGGAGAUGCUUCUGUGGAAGAUGAUGCUUUUAUCAAGGUAAAGUGUUAAUUACUCAGGUUAAGAUGCUUAUUUUAAGCCUAGUAUUUUGCAUCAUGAAUUUUGUGCUUUUUAUUGAACAAUGGUCACUGAAGUAUGUAGGUUAAAGAUAAAGACCUAUGUAAUAUUGACAACGUUUAAUAUUGUCAAUCUCAUUAACGCUCAUAAUUGAGAAAUAUAGUAAAUAACUUUUUCUUUAGUUAAAUGAGAUACAAAAGCUAAAAUUAAUAAUCUCUCCAGGCCUUUAGGUAGAAAGCUGGCCAGGGGAAUAGCUACGAGACAAUUGAUAUACAUGUUAGUUCCUGGAUGAGAUAUCACAGGGAAGGAUAUUGGUAAUUUAUUUUUUAUCUGCCAUUGCAUU
This 685-nucleotide small RNA is filed under the name Pan troglodytes (chimpanzee). RNAcentral's name for it is "retained intron". The record is from RNAcentral. Lineage: Eukaryota; Metazoa; Chordata; Mammalia; Primates; Hominidae.